AGUGAACGCUGGCGGUAGGCCUAACACAUGCAAGUCGAACGGCAGCACAGGAGAGCUUGCUCUCUGGGUGGCGAGUGGCGGACGGGUGAGGAAUACAUCGGAAUCUACUCUGUCGUGGGGGAUAACGUAGGGAAACUUACGCUAAUACCGCAUACGACCUACGGGUGAAAGCAGGGGAUCUUCGGACCUUGCGCGAUUGAAUGAGCCGAUGUCGGAUUAGCUAGUUGGCGGGGUAAAGGCCCACCAAGGCGACGAUCCGUAGCUGGUCUGAGAGGAUGAUCAGCCACACUGGAACUGAGACACGGUCCAGACUCCUACGGGAGGCAGCAGUGGGGAAUAUUGGACAAUGGGCGCAAGCCUGAUCCAGCCAUACCGCGUGGGUGAAGAAGGCCUUCGGGUUGUAAAGCCCUUUUGUUGGGAAAGAAAUCCAGCUGGUUAAUACCCGGUUGGGAUGACGGUACCCAAAGAAUAAGCACCGGCUAACUUCGUGCCAGCCGCCGCGGUAA
RNAcentral lists this ribosomal RNA (506 nucleotides) under uncultured bacterium. Its description in RNAcentral is "partial 16S ribosomal RNA". It matches the Rfam family "Bacterial small subunit ribosomal RNA", at positions 29 to 523 of the family's 1533-position model. The record is from RNAcentral.